UUGAGUAAGAAAAUAAAAUAAUGUCUAUGCCAAAUUUUCCUUUAAUUCAACAUGCAUAAAUGAGUUGUUUUUAGCAGACAGUUGAUACCCCAAAAAUAAAGUACUACUAAAAAUAAAAAUGUAAAAGAUCAAGAAUACCUGCAAAUUGAUGCCAAAAGUUAAGUUCAACUGCGAAUUUGAUGCCCAACAGACUAACAAAGUUUAAGUUUCAACCCAAUUCCCCAGGGUAAACAACAAAAUCGUAUUGAAGCUCCUCCUCUUCAAGAAUGUAUAUAUACAAAAUUCUGGAUGAACUUAAUCCCUAAAAGAGGUGCAAAAGAAUGGUACACAAACAUCUGAAGCACAUGUAGAUUCAGUAGCAAAUGAGCAUGUAUAUUCAUAAGAGGGAAUCUUCUUGCUUUCUUGUUCAAAAUAGUCUGCGCAAAAGGCUUCCAACUUGAAACAUUUUGUUUCUCCCCACCAGAAUGGAGCCAUAUUGUAUCAAAAUUUCCUCAAAUUGCAGGUGUGACAACAUAACUGAUUCGUCAUAGUGUUUUUUCAAGAAAAGGCUUCCAACUUGAAACAUUUUGUUUCUCCCCACCAGAAUGGAGCCAUAUUGUAUCAAAAUUUCCUCAAAUUGCAGGUGUGACAACAUAACUGAUUCGUCAUAGUGUUUUUUCAAGAAUUAUACACCAGUUUGAUUUGUCAUAAAAACGAUCAACAACAACUGCAUUUUCCAUACCAGAAAC
Molecule: long non-coding RNA, 728 nt
Filed under: Panax ginseng (ginseng)
Lineage: Eukaryota; Viridiplantae; Streptophyta; Magnoliopsida; Apiales; Araliaceae
Description: long non-coding RNA (PGIN_LNC016332)
Source: RNAcentral